UGGGGAAUAUUGGACAAUGGGCGAAAGCCUGAUCCAGCAAUGCCGCGUGAGUGAUGAAGGCCCUAGGGUUGUAAAGCUCUUUUACCAGGGAUGAUAAUGACAGUACCUGGAGAAUAAGCUCCGGCUAACUCCGUGCCAGCAGCCGCGGUAAUACGGAGGGAGCUAGCGUUGUUCGGAAUUACUGGGCGUAAAGCGCGCGUAGGCGGUCUAUUAAGUCAGGGGUGAAAUCCCGGGGCUCAACCCCGGAACUGCCCUUGAAACUGGCAGACUAGAAUCUUGGAGAGGCGAGUGGAAUUCCGAGUGUAGAGGUGAAAUUCGUAGAUAUUCGGAAGAACACCAGUGGCGAAGGCGACUCGCUGGACAAGUAUUGACGCUGAGGUGCGAAAGCGUGGGGAGCAAACAGGAUUAGAUACCCCCGUAGUCC
Molecule: ribosomal RNA, 424 nt
Filed under: uncultured prokaryote
Description: bacterial SSU rRNA
Rfam family: Bacterial small subunit ribosomal RNA
Source: RNAcentral